Molecule: ribosomal RNA, 340 nt
Filed under: Massicus raddei
Lineage: Eukaryota; Metazoa; Arthropoda; Insecta; Coleoptera; Cerambycidae
Also listed under: 2 other names
Description: SSU rRNA
Rfam family: Eukaryotic small subunit ribosomal RNA
Source: RNAcentral
UUCCAGCUCCAAUAGCGUAUAUUAAAGUUGUUGCGGUUAAAAAGCUCGUAGUCGAAUCUGUGUCCCGCGCCGCCGGUUCAUCGUCCGCGGUGUUAACUGGCGUGCCGCGGGACGUCCUGCCGGUGGGCUUAGCUCGCAAGGGCGGCCCAACUCAAUCCCGCCGCGGUGCUCUUCAUUGAGUGUCGAGGUGGGCCGGCACGUUUACUUUGAACAAAUUAGAGUGCUUAAAGCAGGCUAAAACUUCGCCUGAAUACUGUGUGCAUGGAAUAAUGGAAUAGGACCUCGGUUCUAUUUUGUUGGUUUUCGGAACCCCGAGGUAAUGAUUAAUAGGAACGGAUGG